This 340-nucleotide ribosomal RNA is filed under the name uncultured Prevotella sp. Its description in RNAcentral is "partial 16S ribosomal RNA". Lineage: Bacteria; Pseudomonadati; Bacteroidota; Bacteroidia; Bacteroidales; Prevotellaceae. The record is from RNAcentral.
GGAGUUUGGUCCGUGUCUCAGUACCAAUGUGGGGGACCUUCCUCUCAGAACCCCUACUGAUCGUUGCCCCGGUGGGCCGUUACCCCGCCGGCAAGCUAAUCAGACGCAUCCCCAUCCCUUACCGAUGAAUCUUUGCUCCUCAUCUGAUGCCAUCAAAGGAGAACAUAGAGUAUUAAUCCGACUUUCGCCGGGCUAUCCUCUACUAAGGGGAAGGUUGGAUACGCGUUACUCACCCGUGCGCCGGUCGCCAUCAGUCUUAGCAAGCUAAGACCAUGCUGCCCCUCGACUUGCAUGUGUUAAGCCUGUAGCUAGCGUUCAUCCUGAGCCAAGAUCAAACUCU